This 431-nucleotide ribosomal RNA is filed under the name uncultured bacterium. Its description in RNAcentral is "bacterial SSU rRNA". It matches the Rfam family "Bacterial small subunit ribosomal RNA", at positions 917 to 1349 of the family's 1533-position model. The record is from RNAcentral.
GGGCCCGCACAAGCGGUGGAGUAUGUGGUUUAAUUCGAUGCAACGCGAAGAACCUUACCAGGGCUUGACAUCCUGCGAACCUCUGGGAAACCGGAGGGUGCCUUCGGGAACGCAGUGACAGGUGGUGCAUGGCUGUCGUCAGCUCGUGUCGUGAGAUGUUGGGUUAAGUCCCGCAACGAGCGCAACCCACGUCUUUAGUUGCCAGCAUUUAGUUGGGCACUCUAGAGAGACCGCCGGUGAUAAACCGGAGGAAGGUGUGGAUGACGUCAAGUCAUCAUGCCCCUUACAUCCUGGGCUACACACGUACUACAAUGCUACGGACAAAGGGCAGCAAACUCGCGAGAGCUAGCAAAUCCCAUAAACCGUGGCUCAGUUCAGAUCGUAGGCUGCAACUCGCCUACGUGAAGGAGGAAUCGCUAGUAAUCGCAGGU